GACAUAUAUGACACUUUGAUCUAUAAAUAAAACCCUUUCCUGCCUUUCUUUCUCACUCGAUACACAUGAAACAAAAACACCAAACACACAGACUUUAAGUCUGUCUCUCUCCCCUCUCUCAUUCUAUACAUAUACAAACCUCACACUCUCUCUUUUACUCACAACUUGAACAGCAGACAACAUAAUCCUUCUCAUCCCCCUCUCUCUCGAUCAUAUAUACACUAACAACACACAUUUACAUCUCUCUCACCCUCUGAAGAAUCGGCCAGCAACCACCGUGGCGGUGGCGGCGCGUGGCGGUGCGUGGCAGUUCUCCGAUCAGGCGACCCCCUAUUCUUCUCCCUGUUCUACCGGUUGUACACCUUUUUUUUUCGAACAACAAAACGAGCCACCACCACCAUUGUUCGGUGGUGGUGCGGCGAUAAAGACCGAGACGAGAGAGAGGGAGAGACUGAGAGAAGGAGAUCGAGAAGAGAGAGAGGGAGAACCAGCGGAGGUGGUGGUGACCGGUGGUCCCCGUCUCGGACCGGUGGUCCUUUACUCGGACCGGUGGUCGACACUUUUAUCCAGCGACUACAAAUCGGGAGGAGAGAGAGAGGAACGAGAUGAGGAGAGAGAGAGCGACGGAACGACAAAGAACCACCGGCGGCGGUGGCGGCGCCUGUGACGGUGAUGGUGUCUCCGACAAGGUCCGUUCUAAUUCGGGUUGUAUACCGGCUCGAGUAUGUGUUCUGGAGCUUCGAUUCAGGCGGGUUGGUCGUCUCAGCUUUGGUUCCAGUUGACUCGGUCAAACUCGGGUCAACACCGAGUCAACUCAGUCAACCGAGUCAACAGUGGUCAACAGCAGGUUCGGGUCAACAGUUUGGUGCGGUCAGCUGUGGUCAACGGCUUUGGUUCGGGUCAAGCGGCUUGGUCAGACUCAGCUUCGGAUUUGGUUGACUCGGUCAAACCGAGUCAACUCGGUCAACCUGGUCAACUCAGGGUGUCGACUCAGUCAACUCAGUUGACCCGGUCAAAUCAGUCAACCGUUUUGGCGUUUCGACAUUAGAAAUUGGUAAAGAUUUAGCGGCGCGAUUACUUCGUUAUUUUUUUUUUAUAUAUCGUGAUAACGAGCUCGAACCAAUUGAUUAUGAUUUACGUUUGAUACAUAUUUGAAAAAAAUUGCAUAUAGUA
This is a long non-coding RNA of Helianthus annuus (common sunflower), 1173 nucleotides long. RefSeq lists it as uncharacterized. The transcript is spliced from 2 exons. NCBI's taxonomy places the organism in Eukaryota, Viridiplantae, Streptophyta, Magnoliopsida, Asterales, Asteraceae. The record is from RefSeq and is a predicted model, not a curated record.